RNAcentral lists this long non-coding RNA (213 nucleotides) under Carica papaya (papaya). Its description in RNAcentral is "long non-coding RNA (CPAP_LNC005223)". The record is from RNAcentral. Lineage: Eukaryota; Viridiplantae; Streptophyta; Magnoliopsida; Brassicales; Caricaceae.
GAGGGAACGAAUCUGGACCAUUUAUUGCAUUUAAUCGCAACUGUCCGAUCGCGCCUGAGGAGGGAAUGGAUCUGAACCGUCCACACGCACGAGAACAAAUCUGGACCAUCCGAUCGUAAGUACGCGGAUUGUCAACGUGGCACCGGGUCAGCGUGCCUUACCACGCAGCACGCUCCGACUCGUCGGGGCUGCUGACUGGGUGGUCCUACGUGG